Molecule: non-coding RNA, 580 nt
Organism: Rattus norvegicus (Norway rat)
Lineage: Eukaryota; Metazoa; Chordata; Mammalia; Rodentia; Muridae
Source: RefSeq, a predicted model, not a curated record
CUCUACCGCCUGGAACCUUUACCCACUUCGCUUUCCUCGAUGACCCCAGACUUGUUUGUUUUUGAUUAUUUAGAUGGGGUUUCAUGGAGUUUAGGCUGCCCUGGAUGGAACUCAGUGUGUAGCUGAAGAUGACCUUCAAUUUCUGAUCUUCCUGCUCCUAUCUUCUGAGUGCUGAGAUUACAGGCAUAUAUUACAGUGAUGGUUUGCAUAUGCUUGGCUUAAGGAGUAGCAGUAUUAGAAGGUGUGGCCUUGUUGGAGGAAGUGUGUCACGGUGAGGGCGGGCUUGGAGACCCUCCUCCUAGCUGCCUGAGAAUGCUCAUUCUGUUCCUGGCUUCCUUUGGGUAAAGAUGUAGAACUCAGCUCCUUCUGCACCAUGCCUGCCUGGAUGCUGCAAUGCUGUCAUACUCCUGCCUUGAUGAUAAUGGACUGAACCUCUGAACUUGUGAAGAUGUAGAAUUCAGCUCCUCCUGCACCAUGCCUCCCUGAAUGCUGCAAUGCUGUCAUGCUCUCCCUUGAUGAUAAUGGACUGAACCUCUGAACCUGUAAGCCAGCCCCAAUUAAAUGUUGUCCUUUAUAAAAC